RNAcentral lists this ribosomal RNA (465 nucleotides) under uncultured bacterium. Its description in RNAcentral is "partial 16S ribosomal RNA". It matches the Rfam family "Bacterial small subunit ribosomal RNA", at positions 339 to 795 of the family's 1533-position model. The record is from RNAcentral.
CUACGGGCGGCAGCAGUGAGGAAUAUUGCGCAAUGGGGGAAACCCUGACGCAGCGACGCCGCGUGGAUGAUGAAGGCCUUCGGGUCGUAAAAUCCUGUCAGAAGGGAAGAAGUGUAUGGUAGCUAAUAUCUGCCAUACUUGACGGUACCUUCAAAGGAAGCACCGGCUAACUCCGUGCCAGCAGCCGCGGUAAUACGGAGGGUGCAAGCGUUGUUCGGAAUUACUGGGCGUAAAGCGCGCGUAGGCGGUUUUAUAAGUCAGAUGUGAAAGUCCACGGCUCAACCAUGGAAGUGCAUUUGAAACUGUAAGACUUGAGUAUUGGAGGGGGUAGUGGAAUUCCCGGUGCAGAGGUGAAAUUCGUAGAUAUCGGGAGGAAUACCGGUGGCGAAGGCGACUAUCUGGCCAAAUACUGACGCUGAGGUGCGAAAGCGUGGGGAGCAAACAGGAUUAGAUACCCGCGUAGUC